UACCAGCACCCCGAGUGGUCGGGACGUUUAUUGGGCCUAAAGCAUCCGUAGCCGGUUCUACAAGCCUUCCGUUAAAUCCAACUGCUUAACAGGUGGGCUGCGGAAGAUACUAUAGAGCUAGGAGGCGGGAGAGGCAAGCGGUACUCGAUGGGUAGGGGUAAAAUCCGUUGAUCCAUUGAAGACCACCAGUGGCGAAGGCGGCUUGCCAGAACGCGCUCGACGGUGAGGGAUGAAAGCUGGGGGAGCAAACCGG
This 253-nucleotide ribosomal RNA is filed under the name uncultured bacterium. RNAcentral's name for it is "partial 16S ribosomal RNA". It matches the Rfam family "Archaeal small subunit ribosomal RNA", at positions 474 to 727 of the family's 1478-position model. The record is from RNAcentral.